Molecule: ribosomal RNA, 253 nt
Filed under: uncultured bacterium
Lineage: Bacteria
Description: partial 16S ribosomal RNA
Rfam family: Archaeal small subunit ribosomal RNA
Source: RNAcentral
UACCCGCAGCACAAGUGGUGGUCCUUAUUAUUGGGCCUAAAGCGUCCGUAGCUGGCCUGUUAGAUGCCUGGGUAAAUCGAUGCGCUCAACGUAUCGAACUCCGGGUAGACCGGCAGGCUUGGGACCGGGAGAGGCGUGAGCUACUCGAGGGGUAGGGGUAAAAUCCUGUAAUCCUUCGGGGAGGACCAGUGGCGAAGGCGUCACGCUAGAACGGCUCCGACAGUGAGGGACGAAGACCUGGGGCGCAAACCGG